This 1368-nucleotide long non-coding RNA is filed under the name Homo sapiens (human). RNAcentral describes it as "non-protein coding lnc-NCAM2-19:1". The record is from RNAcentral. Lineage: Eukaryota; Metazoa; Chordata; Mammalia; Primates; Hominidae.
GCUGCCGCCCGCCGGAGCAUGUCGUGGACUCCAGCGGAGACAAAGGCGCUCUGCGCAGUGUGGGGCAAUGAGCGGCUGGCGGAGGCGCGGUACCAGCAGCUUUAAGGAGCCAGUAUGGUGGCUGGCAGCAAGGACCCCCGGGCCAGCCAAGUAGGAGCUUGUGUCUAGGGCCCUGGCCAAGCUGGGCUAUGAGCGGACCUGUCCCAGUGCUGGGAGGCAUCAAGCAUUUGCACGUGUUACAAUCGGGUGAAAGAACAUGGUGUUGCGAAAAGAAAGAGCAGUUACACAGUAGAACAGUUGGAACAGGUGUUUGCUCAGGCAGGAUGGGAUGCUCAGCCCUGCCAGACUGUACUUCUUAACAGCAGUAGCUUGUACCAGGAGCUGGAGUCAGAUGGCGGCACCAUGGAGGACUAUUCAUUCACAGGAGUACUGGGAACCCAAAGUCAGGAUCUCCAUGGCUAUCCGACAGAUCAGGAAUUAAAAAUAAGUUCAACAAGAGUCUUCUGAAGAAGCACAGAAGAGAGACAUCAGGCAGAAUACUGUACAGAUUUUGGAAUCGGUACAGUUGAAAUGGGAACUUUUUCAGAGUUGGACAGAAUUUUCAAGGCUCCUUCUUUCUAAUAAACUGGCCGUUUUUUGGAAUUGGUUAUAACACCCGUUGGAAAGGGGAUCUUCAUUACCAUUAUGCUGAGAUCACCUCCCAGGUGCCCCUUGGCAAGCGACUUCAGGAGUACUUCAACCCUGAGAAGUCUGAGGGAGGGAUCAUUAUGACACAAGUGUAGAAAACGAACUGGAAAAAAUGUUUAUUACACAUUUUUAGAGAUCACUAUUAGUGAAGCUAGGCGCUUGGAGCUGCAAGUGGAAAUUGACUGGUAACCCAUUGCCUACUCCAACUCGAUCAGUAGGAAUGUUCGAUAUUUAUUGCCUGGAAUUAUUCCUAAAAGCCCGGGCCUUUAUGCCAUUGGCUAUGAAGAAUGUAUUGAGAGGCUCCUCUCACCGUACAUGCAGCAACAUUCCCUGGACCCAGGAAAAGAAGGCGGGGUUGACCUGGAAACCCUUUCAGCACAAGCCUCAUUACAAGUGGUAAUAGAACCCACCAGAAUUAUCUUUUGCCACCUCAGGACUGCUGAGGUCAGGGCUCUGCAGCAGAGCUUAUUUUUACAUUUCCAAGUGAAUACCAAAGUCUUCAGCAAAUAUUGGGUUGGUAUUAACAGAUUUGUCUCUCAGAGCUGUACUGGGGACCCCAGAGUUUCCCUCAAAUCCAUCUACAUCAAAUUUGUGGAAGUAGAGAGAGAUUUUCUUUCCACUGGCUCUUUAGUUGAGUGCCCUGAAAAAGCCAUUGGAUGCCUCCUAAAAUUUAACAACUGA